This 99-nucleotide transfer RNA is filed under the name Streptomyces rimosus subsp. rimosus. RNAcentral describes it as "tRNA-Pro". Lineage: Bacteria; Bacillati; Actinomycetota; Actinomycetes; Kitasatosporales; Streptomycetaceae. The record is from RNAcentral.
GUGCGGCCGGCGGAACUGGGCCGCUUCGACGUGGUCCUGGACACCGCGGGGACCGACCUGCGGGCCUUCCGGCGCCUGUUGAAUCCGGGCGGGCGCAUG